UUCAGGGGUAAACCUGAGAAGCCCGAAAGGUCGAAAGGGGAAAUUCAUUCGCGUUUCGGCCGUCGGCGUUGGAUGGUCGAGUGACGGAUGGCGUACGCGUCGUCCGCGCCUUCCGUUCUUCGAACCGGCGUCGAACGCGUGCACUUUUCCCCUAGUAGGACGUCGCGAUCCGUUGGGUGUCGGUCUACGGUCUGCGGUGGAGACCGUGCGGUCACUAUCACUGUGUAUCGCACGGACCCGUGGUGUCCCGGCCGACUCGCUCGACGGUAUACAGAUGGCGCGGGGCCGCUACACAGUUAGCGUUCGGCCCGCGGCAAGCGCGUUCGGCGUUUGACGGCGAUCGGACCUGGUGCCGGUGCUGUCCACGAACGACUGUUGGCUGCGGUGUUCUCGAACAGUUACACCUCGUAUGAAACGCCGAUCUGCGACGCUAUAGCUUUGGGUACUUUCAGGACCCACGGACCAAGGAGUCUAGCAUGUGCGCGAGUCAUUGGGACAUAACUAAACCUAAAGGCGUAAUGAAAGUGAAGGUCCGCCUUGCGCGGAUCGAGGGAGGAUGGGCGGUUCGCCCUCAAAGUGGCCGCUCCGCACUCCCGGGGCGUCUCGUUCUCAUCGCGAGAAGAGGCGCACCAAGAGC
This 637-nucleotide ribosomal RNA is filed under the name Trichoferus campestris. RNAcentral's name for it is "eukaryotic LSU rRNA". The record is from RNAcentral. Lineage: Eukaryota; Metazoa; Arthropoda; Insecta; Coleoptera; Cerambycidae.